This 433-nucleotide ribosomal RNA is filed under the name Klebsiella pneumoniae. Its description in RNAcentral is "bacterial SSU rRNA". It matches the Rfam family "Bacterial small subunit ribosomal RNA", at positions 1028 to 1463 of the family's 1533-position model. Lineage: Bacteria; Pseudomonadati; Pseudomonadota; Gammaproteobacteria; Enterobacterales; Enterobacteriaceae. The record is from RNAcentral.
UGUGAGACAGGUGCUGCAUGGCUGUCGUCAGCUCGUGUUGUGAAAUGUUGGGUUAAGUCCCGCAACGAGCGCAACCCUUAUCCUUUGUUGCCAGCGGUCGGCCGGGAACUCAAAGGAGACUGCCAGUGAUAAACUGGAGGAAGGUGGGGAUGACGUCAAGUCAUCAUGCCCUUACGACCAGGGCUACACACGUGCUACAAUGGCAUAUACAAAGAGAAGCGACCUCGCGAGAGCAAGCGGACCUCAUAAAGUAUGUCGUAGUCCGGAUUGGAGUCUGCAACUCGACUCCAUGAAGUCGGAAUCGCUAGUAAUCGUAGAUCAGAAUGCUACGGUGAAUACGUUCCCGGGCCUUGUACACACCGCCCGUCACACCAUGGGAGUGGGUUGCAAAAGAAGUAGGUAGCUUAACCUUCGGGAGGGCGCUUACCACUUU